This 75-nucleotide transfer RNA is filed under the name bacterium. RNAcentral's name for it is "tRNA-Lys". It matches the Rfam family "tRNA". Rfam says of the family: Transfer RNA (tRNA) molecules are approximately 80 nucleotides in length. RNAcentral also lists the same sequence under 2 other names. The record is from RNAcentral.
GGGCCCGUAGCUCAGGGGUAGAGCAGCGGCCUUUUAAGCCGUUGGUCGAAGGUUCAAAUCCUUCCGGGCCCACCA